This 400-nucleotide unclassified non-coding RNA is filed under the name uncultured fungus. RNAcentral's name for it is "sequence contains ITS1". The stretch from base 1 to 106 matches the Rfam family "5.8S ribosomal RNA", at positions 49 to 154 of the family's 154-position model. The record is from RNAcentral. Lineage: Eukaryota; Fungi.
UGAAGUGCGAUAAGUAAUGUGAAUUGCAUAAAUUCGUGAAUCAUCGAAUCUUUGAACGCAAAUUGCACUCGUAGGUUCGCCUGCGAGUAUGCCUGUUUGAGUAUCAUAACCAUCUCGAAGCUCGUGAGCUUUGGAUCUGGGUCUCCUACCUGCUGCGGUCACCACCGCCUCGGUAAGACCUGAAAUGCAGGCAACUGUCUGGGUGCGGAAAGCUGUGCUCCUCCCAUCAAAGCGCGAUAGUGAAAAGUCUUUCUAUAUCAUCGCUGAUCAUGGUUGAGCCACGCGAGUACCUACCUAUCCAAGGAUGGUUGCUCUACCCCCAAUCUUUGCGUGAGGCGGAAGCAAUGAAACCUCACCCUAAAAUAUGAUCUCAAAUCAGACAAGACUACCCGCUGAACUU